Acanthosepion pharaonis is the source of this 114-nucleotide non-coding RNA. Lineage: Eukaryota; Metazoa; Mollusca; Cephalopoda; Sepiida; Sepiidae. The record is from the annotation of a GenBank genome assembly.
UUACGACCAUACUACGUUGAAAAACCGGUUGCCGUACGAUUACCGAAGUUAAGCAACGUCGAGCCUGGUCAGUACCUCGAUGGGUGACCACUUGGGAAUACCAGGUGUUGUAAG